GGGCUGAGCCAGCAGUCUGCUGCUGGCAGAAGAACACCACCCAGCUCAGCCGCUGCUCAGAGCAUCCUUGGAGGUGACAUGCUAUUCCCUUGUGACUGCAACAAUCAGGCGAAACUGUCUUCUGAUGCUGUUCUUUUUAAGCUGUUUCCUGAUGCACUCCAUUACACCCUACAAAGAAAAAUGCUACUGCUUAGCAACAGUCACAGGCAAGAAACCCAGAUGAUUAUCCUAUGCUGUGGAGAGGCAAUACAACUUUCCUUAGCUUGCAAAUAGUAGCUAGUGCACCAGCUGGAUAUAUCCCUUUGAAAUAGACUGUCUAGUGUCAAACAAGAACUACAUAUGAAUACUGUAGUGUGGGACAGGUUCUUGGAAUGGCUUCCUGUGGAAAAACUGAUUGCUGGAGCACAGUGUCUUCUGUUCAAAUGUGUGUAUUUCUAUUGCCCUUUUCCUGAUGCUGUUCAGCCAGAGAAUUCUUUCUAGAGCAGUCAUCUUAAAAGCCACAUAGCUCCUUUGGAACAGCUCAUAAAUACUGUCAUCUUUAAAAAAUGCCAUUGUGCUAU
Alligator sinensis (Chinese alligator) is the source of this 560-nucleotide long non-coding RNA. RefSeq lists it as uncharacterized. NCBI's taxonomy places the organism in Eukaryota, Metazoa, Chordata, Crocodylia, Alligatoridae. The transcript has 4 exons. The record is from RefSeq and is a predicted model, not a curated record.